AGAGUUUGAUUAUGGCUCAGAACGAACGCUGGUGGCGUGUCUUAUACAUGCAAGUCGAGCGAGGCAGCAAUGCCUAGCGGCGAACGGGUGAGUAACGCGUAAGCAAUCUGCCCCAUAUCAGGAAAUACCCGUGCCAACGCGCGGUUAAUGUCCAGGAGCGUGGCCUUCCGCAUGGGAGGUUGACAAGAGAUUUAUCGGUAUGGGAUGAGCUUGCGUCCGAUUAGCUGGUUGGCGGGGCAACGGCCCACCAAGGCGACGAUCGGUAGCCGGCCUGAGAGGGUGAUCGGCCACAUUGGGACUGAGAUACGGCCCAGACUCCUACGGGAGGCAGCAGUAGGGAAUAUUGCACAAUGGGGGAAACCCUGAUGCGGCAACGCCACGUGUGGGAAGAAGCAUUUCGGUGUGUAAACCACUGUCGUGAGGGAAUAAGGCGUCUUCUCGGAGACGUUGAAUGUACCUCGAAAGGAAGCACCGGCAAACUUCGUGCCAGCAGCCGC
RNAcentral lists this ribosomal RNA (497 nucleotides) under uncultured bacterium. RNAcentral describes it as "bacterial SSU rRNA". It matches the Rfam family "Bacterial small subunit ribosomal RNA", at positions 8 to 518 of the family's 1533-position model. The record is from RNAcentral.